UCAAAUUUGCUUCCAUGAACGCUCUCACCACUCCCUGAAUUUUUUUCCCUUCUCUUCCUUCUGCUGUUUCACCCUAAGAAGUGGAUCCCUGACAAGUUUGCUUACCAGUCAUGGGGGUAGCAUCUGAGGUAUCUGAAAGUGCACGCAUGCAGUGACCUGGAGGGGACGAUGGAGCCUGCCAGGAAGACUUCCCUGAGGAAAGAUGUCUAAUUCGAGACCUGAAAGAUGAGUGGGGAUCACCAGACAAGAAAAAGGCAAGAACAUUCUAAUCAAAUUCAUAGCACAGGUCAAGUUCUGAGAUGUGAAAGACAGAGAGAGGGAUGUAGAGAUACAGAGGGAAGAGGAGAGGAGAGGUCAGGAUGGGACAGGAGACUGGAUGAAAAAGUCCUAUGGACGGUAUCAAAGAUGAAAAGAUGGGGCUACAGAAAUGAGCAGGUAGAGCUCAUCCAAGGUCUUGCAGCCACAUAUUAUAAAGACUGAAAAAAUGCCAUUGAAGAUUUUUGAGCAGGAGGAUGACAAACAGAAUUGCCUUUUUGA
Long non-coding RNA from Camelus dromedarius (Arabian camel), 537 nucleotides. RefSeq lists it as uncharacterized. The record is from RefSeq and is a predicted model, not a curated record. The transcript is spliced from 3 exons. Lineage: Eukaryota; Metazoa; Chordata; Mammalia; Artiodactyla; Camelidae.